This is a non-coding RNA of Canis lupus familiaris (dog), 105 nucleotides long. The record is from Rfam. Lineage: Eukaryota; Metazoa; Chordata; Mammalia; Carnivora; Canidae.
AGGAGGAACAGCCCCAGUGGCGGGGCCAGCUCUGGAAACCUGGAUUCAGCUCCGGCAGGAACUCCGGAGGUCUCUGUCUGCAGGGCCUGGAGGCUCCGGGGCGGG